UAUUAUUUAAGAGAAAUUGACCAAAAACGAGAAUUUCGAAAUAGAUUUUUAUCGAUUGCUUGGAAACGAGGCAAGCUUUCAUCCCGAGGAACUAAACGGUCAGACGAGGAAAUUUACAAUAACAUCCAAUCUGAAGAUAAAAUUAAAUCUUUCAAAAGAAUGAGGAGAAAAAAUAAUGAAGCGAUUGAACUAUUAAAAGAGAAUAUAUUAGAACCAACUGAAAUAGUGGAACUUUUUAACAUGUGCUCCCCAAAAGUAUUGCACUUCUACCUAAGUGCCAGACAAUGCUUUAAUUGUGGAGGACUGGGACGCAUAAACUCUAUGUGUAAAUCCAAGAAAUUAUUUCUCCGCUGUGGUAAAGCAAAUUGAUGCGCCCUGGAUGAAAAAGUGAGAGAUGUAUCUUAUGUAAAUGUAGUGGACAUCACUCCUGGGAGAAGAGUUCCUGCCCAGUGUGGAUCAAGGAAACUGAUAUUUUGAAAAUUAUGACAAUAAACAAACUGACCGGAAAAGAAGUUAUAGAAAGCUAUUCUCUGAACAACAAUGAAAUGUACACCCAAAAAACAAUGACGACAAUUUCCCACAACUAAGUCCAAAAAUAAAAAACGUGAUCAGCAAUGACACAAGUGUCAAUCAAAUCAUUAAUAAAACGUUAUUCAGCAAGGUGGUGCAGCAGGUCCACGCCCAUCUUUAAUCUAUCCUCAUACACCUAAGAUACAAGCCAACAUCUCUUGUCACCAAGGAUCUUUUUCCACGGCUAGUGCACAUUCUUGGCAAAAUUUAAGCAUUUUGUCGCGUUUUGCAGCGUUAAAGCUCAAGUCCAGAACAAUAAAAGCCUUUACAGGGAGAUCGAAAACGAUCUGCAGGCUCAUCACAUGCUCAGGUCCAAAAUGAAAUGCACGACUGUGCUGGACGAGGCGCUAUUAAAUAAUCUUAUCCGAAGAGGAAGUCAAUCGACUAGAACGCAUUCGAGAAUUGAAAAUUAUUUUAAAAAAGGAUGAGGAUUUCGAGCAAUCUGUAAUGGACCAUAUCAAUAAUUUCGCGGAUAUUUACGUAAUGUUACGGUAUAUAUAUUUCUGAUCAGCAUUAACAUCCGAUUCGAUAUAUAUGCGUAUAUCUACAAUGGUAUUCAAUCUUCGGCAUGCCAAGGAUAUCCACACUUUCUUACCUUUUCUUCUGUUCUAAUCCGUUUUACUUAUUUAAUGCAGCGUUAGCAUUUGGAACAUUAUUGCUAUUUUGCAAAAUGUUGAUCAUGAUCCCAGGAAUUUCACUUGUAGAUAUCCCAAUUCGUAUUUGAAGUUACCAUUGCUUAAAUUCGAAUUGUUUGAUAUGCGCGCCUUGCCGCCAGGCUUCUACGAAGAAGACAUUGACAAACACAUGCAUGUUCUCAGGGGGCAAAUGGAAUCGGAGACGCGGAUCUGCCGCAAUAAAUAUCAUCAGGCUUUUCUGGCUACUCGCCAAAUGUAUUCAAAUGUCAAUUAAGACGAUGAGCACAUGGCUGUGCCUGGUCUCGACUAUGAGAAAGAGAAUGCGAUUCCGAUUCCACGAUUCCGUCUCGAAAGCAAAUUAAGGCUUUCAGUGCUACAGCUAUGGAAUCGGCCAGAUUCAAUGAAGACAACUGAGAUAUAAUUUUUAUCAAAAAAAUAUAAUAUUUAGAUAAAUAUAUAUAUAGAAUUAGAUUUGAUUUAACGCUUGAUCGCGGCCAAGUUGAAAAUCUUAUCAGUAAUGAAAAAUAUUGCUGGAGGAGAAGAUAGUAUUGCGUAUAUUAUGAAAGGAAAUAGAAAACGCGAGGUUCGACCGGUGGAGCUGAAAUCACGAAAGAAUCUUCACGGAAAGUUUGGUACCAUUAAAAUCGACUCCAGCCGCUGGCCAGUAGCAUUCCUAGUGAAGGCCAAAAAGAUUCUAUCAGCGGACCCGAAACGUUAUGUGCGGGAAACUCGGAGCAUGACAAUGCUCAAGGUGGAGCUGCAGUCGAGCCAAUCUACGAACUAAAGUUAGUGAUACCCUGCUCACAGGCGAAGGGGAUAUAUUCACUCGUUGAUGGCCAAGUGAAAAACAAUGUUAAGUUGAAAUGCAGAAGCACAAAAUUUAAUUCGCCACAAUGCUGCAAGGGGAACAAUCUAUCUGAGGGAGAGAUCAAGUAAGCAGCUUGUUAAGG
Molecule: non-coding RNA, 2155 nt
Organism: Drosophila virilis
Lineage: Eukaryota; Metazoa; Arthropoda; Insecta; Diptera; Drosophilidae
Source: RefSeq, a predicted model, not a curated record